Molecule: long non-coding RNA, 312 nt
Organism: Cyprinus carpio (common carp)
Lineage: Eukaryota; Metazoa; Chordata; Actinopteri; Cypriniformes; Cyprinidae
Exons: 2
Source: RefSeq, a predicted model, not a curated record
GCGGGGAAUGUGUUGCCCUUAAGGCAGUUAAUCAUUUAAUAAAUAAGUUAAAUGGUUUAAAAUGUUUAAAUUAAGCAUUUCUAAGAGUUUCUUAUAAGUAUUUCAUGUGUAUUUGUAAGUUUUAUUUAAAAAAUAUUAGCGGACAUUUUGAUUCCGGUUAGGGUGCGAUAACUUCCGGUUUCGGUUUCAUGGUAAACAGAGCAGGCGAAAUCCAGCAUGGUACGGUCAGCAAUCUGUCGCCAUUCUCACUAAAGCACUGUCAAGGCAAUGCCUUUUCACCAUCUGGAGAAGAAAUUAAAAUGCAAAAACGUC